CCACACCCUCUUUCACCUCUUACUUUUUGAUUUUGUAAUGAACUUUUAAUUUUAGUUACUAAAAUAUUUAAAUUUUAAGAAAUAAUAAAUUAUUGGAGAUUAGCCAAAAUAGAGAACAUUGCUGGAAGAAAUAUGUUUAAGUAGUUUGCUAUAAUAGCUUUUUAGCCAUUUAAGCUAAAAUUUGGCUAAGAUUUAGACUCUCCUUGAGAUGCUACAAGGGCAAGCUCAAUGGUAGUGCCUUAAUGGGGCUCUAAAAAUGGUGGAUAAAGACAUUAAGAGCUCUGAUUGAAUAUUCCGGGCCCUAAAAGUAUCUUUCCCACAAUAGAGAGCUUUAUACUUGAGGCUCUAUUUAUAAUGUAAUUUAGUUUAUGUGCUAAUUUUUUUUCAUUGUUAACUUAUUUUGUGUUAAUGCAUGUUUAUAUUAUGUUAUUUUUUUUUUUUUUUAACAUUUCAACCAAAAUAAAAUAAAAUAUGGACUAUACUUUGGAAACAACAUUUUUUUGUUUUGGGUUAAUGUAUGCUUAUGUUAUGUUAAAUUUUUUUAAUGAUUAUGAUUAUGAUUAUUUUUUGUUGCUAAUGUAUGUUUAUAACUUGCCCAAAAGUGUAAUGAUGUUGGUGAUUUUUGCAUUAGCUUUUGGCAGCAGCUGGGGUCCACUCAGGCUCUAUGGCUCUAUUAAGGUCUUCAUAUAUGGGGUAAGCUCCAAUUGGGCUCUGGGAUUUUGAGACUCAUAUGCACCCCAUUGGGGAUGCCAUUUUUGCAAUG
RNAcentral lists this long non-coding RNA (763 nucleotides) under Prunus persica (peach). RNAcentral's name for it is "long non-coding RNA (PPER_LNC007684)". Lineage: Eukaryota; Viridiplantae; Streptophyta; Magnoliopsida; Rosales; Rosaceae. The record is from RNAcentral.